This 3010-nucleotide ribosomal RNA is filed under the name Salmonella enterica subsp. enterica serovar Thompson str. RM6836. RNAcentral describes it as "bacterial LSU rRNA". It matches the Rfam family "Bacterial large subunit ribosomal RNA". The record is from RNAcentral. Lineage: Bacteria; Pseudomonadati; Pseudomonadota; Gammaproteobacteria; Enterobacterales; Enterobacteriaceae.
GGGUUGUGAGGUUAAGCGACUAAGCGUACACGGUGGAUGCCCUGGCAGUCAGAGGCGAUGAAGGGCGUGCUAAUCUGCGAUAAGCGCCGGUAAGGUGAUAUGAACCGUUAUAACCGGCGAUACCCGAAUGGGGAAACCCAGUGUGACUCGUCACACUAUCAUUAACUGAAUCCAUAGGUUAAUGAGGCGAACCGGGGGAACUGAAACAUCUAAGUACCCCGAGGAAAAGAAAUCAACCGAGAUUCCCCCAGUAGCGGCGAGCGAACGGGGAGGAGCCCAGAGCCUGAAUCAGCAUGUGUGUUAGUGGAAGCGUCUGGAAAGGCGCGCGAUACAGGGUGACAGCCCCGUACACAAAAGCGCAUGUGCUGUGAGCUCGAUGAGUAGGGCGGGACACGUGGUAUCCUGUCUGAAUAUGGGGGGACCAUCCUCCAAGGCUAAAUACUCCUGACUGACCGAUAGUGAACCAGUACCGUGAGGGAAAGGCGAAAAGAACCCCGGCGAGGGGAGUGAAAAAGAACCUGAAACCGUGUACGUACAAGCAGUGGGAGCACAGGUUUACCUGUGUGACUGCGUACCUUUUGUAUAAUGGGUCAGCGACUUAUAUUCUGUAGCAAGGUUAACCGUAUAGGGGAGCCGGAGGGAAACCGAGUCUUAAUUGGGCGUUAAGUUGCAGGGUAUAGACCCGAAACCCGGUGAUCUAGCCAUGGGCAGGUUGAAGGUUGGGUAACACUAACUGGAGGACCGAACCGACUAAUGUUGAAAAAUUAGCGGAUGACCUGUGGCUGGGGGUGAAAGGCCAAUCAAACCGGGAGAUAGCUGGUUCUCCCCGAAAGCUAUUUAGGUAGCGCCUCGUGAAUUCAUCUCCGGGGGUAGAGCACUGUUUCGGCUAGGGGGCCAUCCCGGCUUACCAACCCGAUGCAAACUGCGAAUACCGGAGAAUGUUAUCACGGGAGACACACGGCGGGUGCUAACGUCCGUCGUGAAGAGGGAAACAACCCAGACCGCCAGCUAAGGUCCCAAAGUCAUGGUUAAGUGGGAAACGAUGUGGGAAGGCCCAGACAGCCAGGAUGUUGGCUUAGAAGCAGCCAUCAUUUAAAGAAAGCGUAAUAGCUCACUGGUCGAGUCGGCCUGCGCGGAAGAUGUAACGGGGCUAAACCAUGCACCGAAGCUGCGGCAGCGAACGUAUCACUUAAAGCGAUUCAGCGGGUUACGAUUGACGGAGCGAAGCGACGUCAAAGCGUAUACAAAGUCGAGUCGGUUUAAGGAUACGUUCGUUGGGUAGGGGAGCGUUCUGUAAGCCUGUGAAGGUGGCCUGUGAGGGUUGCUGGAGGUAUCAGAAGUGCGAAUGCUGACAUAAGUAACGAUAAAGCGGGUGAAAAGCCCGCUCGCCGGAAGACCAAGGGUUCCUGUCCAACGUUAAUCGGGGCAGGGUGAGUCGACCCCUAAGGCGAGGCCGAAAGGCGUAGUCGAUGGGAAACAGGUUAAUAUUCCCGUACUUGGUGUUACUGCGAAGGGGGGACGGAGAAGGCUAUGUUGGCCGGGCGACGGUUGUCCCGGUUUAAGCGUGUAGGUGUGUGUUCCAGGUAAAUCCGGUUCACUUUAACACUGAGGCGUGAUGACGAGGCACUACGGUGCUGAAGCAACAAAUGCCCUGCUUCCAGGAAAAGCCUCUAAGCAUCAGGUAACAUCAAAUCGUACCCCAAACCGACACAGGUGGUCAGGUAGAGAAUACCAAGGCGCUUGAGAGAACUCGGGUGAAGGAACUAGGCAAAAUGGUGCCGUAACUUCGGGAGAAGGCACGCUGACACGUAGGUGAAGUGAUUUACUCAUGGAGCUGAAGUCAGUCGAAGAUACCAGCUGGCUGCAACUGUUUAUUAAAAACACAGCACUGUGCAAACACGAAAGUGGACGUAUACGGUGUGACGCCUGCCCGGUGCCGGAAGGUUAAUUGAUGGGGUCAGCGCAAGCGAAGCUCCUGAUCGAAGCCCCGGUAAACGGCGGCCGUAACUAUAACGGUCCUAAGGUAGCGAAAUUCCUUGUCGGGUAAGUUCCGACCUGCACGAAUGGCGUAAUGAUGGCCAGGCUGUCUCCACCCGAGACUCAGUGAAAUUGAACUCGCUGUGAAGAUGCAGUGUACCCGCGGCAAGACGGAAAGACCCCGUGAACCUUUACUAUAGCUUGACACUGAACAUUGAGCCUUGAUGUGUAGGAUAGGUGGGAGGCUUUGAAGCGUGGACGCCAGUCUGCGUGGAGCCGACCUUGAAAUACCACCCUUUAAUGUUUGAUGUUCUAACGUGGACCCGUAAUCCGGGUUGCGGACAGUGUCUGGUGGGUAGUUUGACUGGGGCGGUCUCCUCCUAAAGAGUAACGGAGGAGCACGAAGGUUGGCUAAUCCUGGUCGGACAUCAGGAGGUUAGUGCAAUGGCAUAAGCCAGCUUGACUGCGAGCGUGACGGCGCGAGCAGGUGCGAAAGCAGGUCAUAGUGAUCCGGUGGUUCUGAAUGGAAGGGCCAUCGCUCAACGGAUAAAAGGUACUCCGGGGAUAACAGGCUGAUACCGCCCAAGAGUUCAUAUCGACGGCGGUGUUUGGCACCUCGAUGUCGGCUCAUCACAUCCUGGGGCUGAAGUAGGUCCCAAGGGUAUGGCUGUUCGCCAUUUAAAGUGGUACGCGAGCUGGGUUUAGAACGUCGUGAGACAGUUCGGUCCCUAUCUGCCGUGGGCGCUGGAGAACUGAGGGGGGCUGCUCCUAGUACGAGAGGACCGGAGUGGACGCAUCACUGGUGUUCGGGUUGUCAUGCCAAUGGCACUGCCCGGUAGCUAAAUGCGGAAGAGAUAAGUGCUGAAAGCAUCUAAGCACGAAACUUGCCCCGAGAUGAGUUCUCCCUGAGACUUAGAGUCUCCUGAAGGAACGUUGAAGACGACGACGUUGAUAGGCCGGGUGUGUAAGCGCAGCGAUGCGUUGAGCUAACCGGUACUAAUGAACCGUGAGGCUUAACCUUACAACGCCGAAG